GACGAACGCUGGCGGCGUGCCUAAUACAUGCCAGUCGAGCGGACUGAUUAAGAGCUUGCUCUUAUGACGUUAGCGGCGGACGGGUGAGUAACACGUGGGCAACCUGCCCUGUAGAUCGGGAUAACACCGAGAAAUCGGUGCUAAUACCGGGUAAUAUCUGAGAUCACAUGAUCUUAGGUUAAAAGAUGGCUCCGGCUAUCACUACAGGAUGGGCCCGCGGCGCAUUAGCUAGUUGGUAAGGUAAUGGCUUACCAAGGCGACGAUGCGUAGCCGACCUGAGAGGGUGAUCGGCCACACUGGGACUGAGACACGGCCCAGACUCCUACGGGAGGCAGCAGUAGGGAAUCUUCCGCAAUGGACGAAAGUCUGACGGAGCAACGCCGCGUGAGUGAUGAAGGGGUUCGGCUCGUAAAGCGCUGUUGUUAGGGAAGAAACAGUACCGAACGAACUAGGUCGGUACCUUGACGGUACCUAACCAGAAAGCCACGGCUAACUACGUG
This 500-nucleotide ribosomal RNA is filed under the name uncultured bacterium. RNAcentral's name for it is "partial 16S ribosomal RNA". It matches the Rfam family "Bacterial small subunit ribosomal RNA", at positions 28 to 507 of the family's 1533-position model. The record is from RNAcentral.